AACGAACGCUGGCGGCAUGCCUAACACAUGCAAGUCGAACGAGACCUUCGGGUCUAGUGGCGCACGGGUGCGUAACGCGUGGGAACCUGCCCUUAGGUUCGGAAUAACUCCCCGAAAGGGGUACUAAUACCGGAUAAUGUCUACGGACCAAAGAUUUAUCGCCUUUGGAUGGGCCCGCGUUGGAUUAGCUAGUUGGUAGGGUAAAAGCCUACCAAGGCGACGAUCCAUAGCUGGUCUGAGAGGAUGAUCAGCCACACUGGGACUGAGACACGGCCCAGACUCCUACGGGAGGCAGCAGUGGGGAAUAUUGGACAAUGGGCGAAAGCCUGAUCCAGCAAUGCCGCGUGAGUGAUGAAGGCCUUAGGGUUGUAAAGCUCUUUUACCCGGGAUGAUAAUGACAGUACCGGGAGAAUAAGCUCCGGCUAACUCCGUG
This 433-nucleotide ribosomal RNA is filed under the name uncultured bacterium. Its description in RNAcentral is "partial 16S ribosomal RNA". It matches the Rfam family "Bacterial small subunit ribosomal RNA", at positions 29 to 507 of the family's 1533-position model. The record is from RNAcentral.